UCAUACAUACUAAGCCUUAGAUACAAUGCCUGUUGAGCUUGUUGAGCUUCUUCUCAGUUUCAAGGGCCUGGUGGGUGGUAGGGGCUGUGUGGUGGACUGUAUGGACUUUUAUAUAUUUUGGGGCUGGGUGGUGGAUAGUGUGGGCUUUUAUAUAUUUUGGGGCUGGGUGGUGGACUGUAUGGGCUUUUAUAUAUUUUGGGGCUGGGUGGUGGAUUGUGUGGCCUUUUAUAUAUUUUGGGGCUGGGAGGUGGAAUGCGUGGGCUUUUAUAUAUUUUGGGGCUGGGUGGUGGACUGUGUGGGCUUUUAUAUAUUUUGGGGCUGGGUGGUGGAUUGUGUGGGCUUUUAUAUAUUUUGGGGCUGGGAGGUGCAAUGUGUGGGCUUUUAUAUAUUUUGGGGCUGGGAGGUGGAAUGUGUGGGCUUUUAUAUAUUUUGGGGCUGGGUGGACUUUUAUGCAUUCUUUUACAGUCCCUUGAUCCGGGAUUGCACAUGCUUGUAGAUGGUGGAUCAGGUAAAUUCCCUGCUAUAAAGCCCACCUUAUCGCUACUCAUUUCUUCUGCAACAUCCAUGCCAAAUAUUAUCAUAAAUCACAAAGAGGCAAAAACAGCAGCCCAUGCAUGACAGUAUAUUAAAUGGGAAAAUUGUGUACUAGCCUCCAAUCAUAUCCAUUUGAAGUUUCAAGAACAGAAACUUAGUAGGACAUUUGAUCUUAUUCAACUAUUCAAAUCCACGUAAGUAAGCAUGCGCAUGUAUAGUUAAUUACUUGCAUGAAUAUUAAAUGCAUGUAGGGAAAGAAAUUACCA
This 800-nucleotide long non-coding RNA is filed under the name Vitis vinifera (wine grape). RNAcentral describes it as "long non-coding RNA (VVIN_LNC004765)". The record is from RNAcentral. Lineage: Eukaryota; Viridiplantae; Streptophyta; Magnoliopsida; Vitales; Vitaceae.